GGAAAUUCCUUGAUUAUGCCAAUAUCGCCUAGGGAUACGGGUAGGACAGUCAAUUGUAUUUGCUUCCAAACGCAUUGCAUUAUUGAUUACUAGAGGAGGCUAGGGAUAACAAGCCGGUAAUUAAUUAUAGGCUCUUUUCACCAAGGGAUUGGGUUAAGGGUAUACUACAAGUUUGCAUGGCAAUUAGAUAAAUAAGUGAAGUAAAUAAGAAGAGUAGAUAUAUGAGAGUGGAUAAGAUGAAAUUGUAAACCCCAACAACACC
Molecule: long non-coding RNA, 262 nt
Filed under: Vigna radiata
Lineage: Eukaryota; Viridiplantae; Streptophyta; Magnoliopsida; Fabales; Fabaceae
Description: long non-coding RNA (VRAD_LNC000735)
Source: RNAcentral